Long non-coding RNA from Amphiprion ocellaris (clown anemonefish), 14514 nucleotides. RefSeq lists it as uncharacterized. The transcript is spliced from 2 exons. NCBI's taxonomy places the organism in Eukaryota, Metazoa, Chordata, Actinopteri, Pomacentridae. The record is from RefSeq and is a predicted model, not a curated record.
ACUGUGAUGACUGCCAUUUAAUAACAAAAACACUAACCUAAAAAAAUAUUUAUCUUACACAAGUGUAGCCUUUACAAAAUACAGUCAUCGUUUCCUCAAUUAAAGGUUUUAGUCACAGGAGGAUGUAAGGUUCUUUCUCUGAACCCCAUGUAUGAGUUUCAUCUCGAAGGCAGCCGUCUUGCCUUCUUCUGCCUUAAAGCUGCAGUAGACAAAAAUCUGAAGAAUGCCAAUCCUUCCCCUCUUGCAUAUCAAAUACCCUGCUCUCUCAAGUCCUCCAUCUUCUCCAUUGCACCACCACAACCUGCACUCACUGUGGACUUGGUUGCUUUUUAUACUAGCUUACUUGCUCUAGGUGAAAAGCCCUGUGAUCGGCUAAUAUCUCCCAUUAUGGGCUAGAUUGUUAAACGGUGCCAAGAGGAGAUGGUCUAGUUUCCUCUCAGACUACUUAUGAUAUGCUGAAAGGUUAGUAUGAUACUUUUGCCCAGUGAUGCCAAAAAAGUACUGCCGAGUCUUGCUUCAAGUGAGUUUAAAAUCUAGUCUGUGACCUGGUCUGGAGCUUGUUGUCCACUGCUUCAUGAAAUGAUGAUUUUUUAUUUAUUUAUUUAUUUUUUUUUACAGGUGACAGUGAGGGUGUCAAUGAGCUUUACACCUCAGAUGGUACCGAAAUAUGCCCAUCAGCCAGUUCCAUACCCGGAAGUCUUCUUAACUCUUGGAGCCCCAGGAGAAAACCUUGUGAUCCCUCUGAGCCCAGUACCUGGUAGACGGCUGUCCUUUGACCUAAACCUUGUCCCCAGAGAAGAUGUUAAUUCCAGGCACUGCUCUCCAAGCCAUGCAAGUCCCAGGAAAACCCACUCAAGGCAAUCAUCCCCCAACAAAAAAAAAAAAGAUAAGAAAAACAGUGGCAACAAACAUUAGUCAGGUAUGCCACAUUGUAAAUGAUAUAUGAAGGAAAAUAACUGAUUAAUGUGAGAUGUUGGUAACUGGCUAGGAAAAUAGAGGACUGAACAUUGAAAAAUUAUAUUAAAAUAAAAUUUAAUUGGUAGUUUUCAUAUACUCAGUAAUUAGAAACGCUUGCUAGAGUAGAACAAAAGAUUAUUCUGUUUUUAUUGGGUUAAUUGUUAAGGCUUUUUUCCUUUGCUAGUUAAAUGUUUAAUUGUCUGUUAUGUUGUGGGUGAUAACUCAUUGCUUUGCUUUUUCAAAUGUAAAUGCAUUCCAUAAAGUAAAAAGUGAAACCGUUUUAUCUGCUUCUCCAAACACAGCAAUUGCUGGUUAGCUGGAAUUAAACCCACAGGUCUGGCAAACUGUGUGAAACCAUGACAAAAAAAGCAUAAGAAAACACACCACAAACUGAAUCUGGCUAGUGAUAGAAAAUAUUUGAUCACAGUUACAUGUGCAAUAUUCAUAUUAAUGAUUCUAACACAGUUUAAUGUAUUGUUAUCAAAGCUAACUUGGUUGUACAAGGUUGACCAUGAAUGCAAGUAAAGAGAAAACAUAACACUUCAGAAAUAUAUAGCAUUUAUUGAAGAUUUACAGAAGAAAAUAUUCAGGGGCUCAUAUUGUAUGAGCUCUUAAUUGCCUCAACUGGAUCUUGUGUCUUAUUCAGCAGAGUCACUUCCCUGAAAGUAAGAGAAAAUAUGUGUACAUUGAGGUAGUGUUUGUAGAAAUUUAUGUAGGAAUACGAUUGCAUGCAGUAUGCACUGAUAAAAAAAAAAAAAAAAAAAAGGAAAGCAAUAUGUUAUGCAAUGAUAAUACUUGAGUUAAAGUUUGGGGAAUAUUGCUCUGCAACUGGGCGUUCAUUUCAGAAAUCAUUAUGGAUAUUGUCCUUAUAUAUAUGACAUUAGAACUUAUAAAUCAUGGCUGUUUAGAGGAAGUAUGUGCAUAUAAUUAAUAUACGAUACUGCCAAAGAAAAUAAAACGUUACCUUUCCAACAUCACGGCUCUUGGCUCUCAGCUUGUUGACCUGGGACUCAGCAAUGUCAGCACGCUCCUGAGCUUCCUCCAGUUCAUGCUGAACCUUUCUGAGCCUGGACAUGUGGGUGUUGGCCUGUUCCUCCUGUGAAGAGAUUACAGUUAUGCUGACCUAGUUACAGAUCACUUAAUGGUGACAUUACGGAUCCAGCUGUAACUGAUAUAUAUAUACUACCAUUCAAAAGUUUGGGGUUUCUUAGAAAUGUCCUUAUUUUUGAAAGAAAGGCAGUUUUUCUCAAUGAAGAUAACAUUAGUCAGAAAUCCAGUCUAGACAUUGUUAAUGUGGUAAAUGACUAUUCUAGCUGGAAACGGCUGAUUUUUUAAAUGGAAUAUCUACAUAGGGGUACAGAGGAACAUUUCCAGCAACCAUCACUCCUGUGUUCUGAUGGUACAUUGUGUUAGCUAAUCAUGUUGAAAGGCUAGUUGAUGAUUAGAAUUUGCCUGGGUGAUCCCAAGCUUUUGAACAAUAGUGUAUAUAUAUAUACAGGGUGUCCCCAAAAAAUUGACAUCAUAUCAUCACCUAAUAAUUUGUUUAAAAUUUUGCUCUUUUUGCUCAAAAAAGUGUAUGGAUUGGACAUGCUAAUGAUGAAGACAACGUGCUAUUCAUAAUGGCCCCCAUGCUCACCUGACCUAACACUUUGCAGUUUCUUUCUGUGGGGUAACAUGAAAAGACUGGUCUAUAUCCACCACUUCUGAAAACAUGCUGCAGCGAGUGUGGCAGGAACUCCACUACCGACUUGAUAUGUGCCGCGUCACAAGCGGUGCAUACAGUGAACAUUUGUAAUAACUUUGGAACAUUAUAAAAUUACCAUCUCCCAGAAUUUUUCAUUUGAGAUUUGUUGAGUAAAACAUUUUAUGUCCAAAAUACAUCCUAUUAGGUAUCAUUUCUCCUGACCAUGUAGUCACUCCGAUAUGGACAUUUCAAAUGAUGUCAAUUUUUUCUGGGACACCCUGUAUAUGUGUGUAGUUGACGUACAGCCUCUUCAGCUUGUCUCUUGUAAGCCUUGACUUUGAGCUGCAGCUUGUCCACCAGAUCCUGAAGUCUGGUCACAUUCUUCUUGUCCUCCUCAGUCUGCACAGAAAAAGGAUUGUUACUUAUAGUGUUACAGCAGAAUCAGGGAGUAAUUAUAAUAGCUUUUAAUGAAAUUAGUUACCUGGUAGGUCAGCUCCUUCACUCUCCUCUCAUAUUUGCGCACUCCUUUGACAGCAUCAGCUCCACGUCUCUGCUCACCUUCAACUUCAGCCUCAAGCUCACGCACCUGUAAGGUGAUGAUAAAUGGUUUAAUUUAUGUACUUGGGUUUGAGCACAAUGAAAGCAAGCCAGGGUUUAUGAGAUGUACUUAGUGUUAUGUUCACUCAUAUAUUAGUUUUUUAUAAUUUAUACAGAGUUUAUACCCUGGACUCCAGUUUCUGGAGCUGCUUCUUGCCACCCUUCAUGGCCAGGUUCUCAGCCUCAUCCAGACGGUGCUGCAGGUCCUUGACUGUGACCUCCAGGUUCUUCUUCAUCCUCUCCAGGUGAGCGCUGGUGUCCUGCUCCUUCUUCAGCUCCUCAGCCAUCAUGGCAGCCUGAAAUGAUUUAAUGUUUUCUAUGUAAUUCGCGAUUUAUAAUAGACGUGAAAAUAUCACAACAUGGAAACAGCCAAAAAGAUAAAUACAUAGAAGAGUUAUAGACAUAAUCUCACAUCAGUGAUAGCCUUUUUGGCUUUCUCCUCAGCAUUUCUUGCUUCCUGAACAGCAUCAUCCACCUCACUCUGGACCUGGACAAAGUCAGCCUCCAGCUUCUUCUUGGUGUUCAGAAGGCUGGUGUUCUGAAUGAUUAAAGAAAUCAUGUAAUAGAAAUAAAAGUUUAAAAUAGUAUUUGCAAUGUAUUUUCAAGAAAGAUUUUUUUGUGAAUGAAUAAAAUCCAACCUGAGAGUGAAGCAGGCCGACACGCUCACUAGCAUCAACCAACUCCUGCUCAGCCACUUUGCGUCCUCUCUCUGUCUGCUCCAGAGCAGCUCUCAGCUCUUCAAUCUCAGCCAUCAUCAGACCAUUCCUGCGCUCCACCAUGGCAACCUGCUCCUUCAUGUCUUCCUGUCCUCUGACGGCAUCAUCAAGGUGCAGUUGAGCAUCCUGAAAAAAAGAGGAGUUUACGUUAAUUUUCAUUAUUCUCAAAUUGUUUGUUUUUAAUCCACCAGUCACAGAAAACUUACCUUGAGCUGUCCCUGGACGUUCCUCAGUUGUUUCUGGGCUUCAGCAGCCUGCCUGUUGGCAUGGCUCAGCUGAAUCUCCAUCUCAUUCAGGUCUCCCUCCAUCUUCUUCUUGACUCUCAGGGCAUCAUUCCUGCUCCUGACCUCAGCAUCAAGAUUGCUCUGCAUGGAGUCUAUCACCCUCUGGCUGUUCCUCUUGAUCUGUUCCAUCUCCUCAUCCUUCUCUGCCAGCUUCCUGUCGACCUCACCUUUGACCUGGUUCAGCUCAAGCUGAAUACGAAGAAUCUUGGAUUCCUCAUGCUCCAGUGUGCCCUGCAAGAAAAGUCAGUUAAGUACCAAAAUGACAGUUUAGUCAUGAUGACAAAACACAUUUGACAUCAGUUGGAUCGGGUGGCAAUGUUUACUAUUUGUCACAAUAGUCAGCAAAGUUUAAAAGGUAUUACCUCAGCUUCCUCCAGGGCAGUUUGAAUUUCAGCCUUCUCACUUUCCACAGUCUUCUUGGCUUUUUCCAGCUCAUGGAUGCUCUUUCCAGUCUCACCAAUUUGUUCAGUCAGAUCAGAGAUCUCCUCUACAGAGUUAACACAACAAAGAUAAUUACUCAUAGACUCUUUACAGCUAGUAAUGACUGAUUAUUUGCUUUUAAUGUCAAUAACAAUGCACAUACGUUGCAGGUUCUUAUUCUCUCUCUUCAUGGUCUCCAGCUGAUCCAGAGCCUCCUCAUAGGAGUUCUUCAUCUUGAACAACUCAGUGCUGAGAGAACGAGCCUCCUUCUGUGCUCCCUCCAGUUCUGCCUGGCCCUCCUCAUACUUCUGCUUCCAUUCUGCCAGGACCUAGAAACACAAAGAAGUAGAAUAUUUUGUCUGGGAUUGGUGAAGUCUUGUGUUGAACCUGGUUUUGCUUUUUAAUGUAAGCACUGACCUUAUCAAAGUUCCUCUGCUUCUUGUCAAGGUUGGCAGCCAGAGCGUUAGCUCUCUCCACAUCAAUCAUGAGGUCCUCCACCUCACCCUGCAGCCUCUGCUUGGUCUUCUCCAAAGAGGCACACUUGGAGUUCACAGCCUCAAUGGAUUCCUCGGCCUCCUGCAGGCGCUGGGCAAGCUUUUUCCUGUGGUGAGCAAAGAGUCAUCUUUGCUUACAUGGACAUGCUUUCACAAAACAAACAGAUUUACCAGGUGAUUUAUCUGAUAUGGAAAGGCAAGGAGUUUUAUUUACUUGGCCUCCUCCAGCUCCUCAGUGCGCUGGAUAGCAUCAGUCUCAUAUUUGCUUCUCCACUGAGCCACCUCACUGUUGGCCUUGGACAUUCCUCUCUGCAGCUCAGCCUUGGCCUCCUGCUCCUCCUCAAACUGCUCUCUGAGCAGAUCACAGUCAUGGCGAGCUGACUGAACAGCAUGGGCCAGGGCAUUCUUUGCCUAUAAAUUUAUUAUAAGAAGCAUUAACCAAUUAAUUAAUUCUGUAAAUGUUUUUUAGUACAUACACAAAACACAGAGUAUCUUUUCUUCAGAUAGUUAUUUAACCUUGUUAACAAAGAAACAGAAUUUGACGUUUCCAUUGUUGCCCGACUCAUUCCUUCGAAUCAUUGGUAGAUCCAUGCUUCAUCCACGUAUUGUUAAAAUCAGUCAUAGUCGAGACAUCAUGUAUACACAUCACUAAACUUGAUUAAUACAGACAGCCAAAUACAUGCAAUCUAUGGACAUUGCAAUAUAAAGCAGGCAAUACAAAUAUGAAGUCUGGUACCUUCACUUCCUCCUCAAUGUGUCUCUUGAGCUCUUCAAUUUGUUGAGUGUAGGCCUGUUUGCCUCUGGUGAGCUGGGAAAUAAGAGCUUCCUUCUCUUCAAUCUGGCGAGUAAACUCACCUGAAAAUGAGAAAAAAAAUAAGAUUAAGAUAUUUGUGGCUUCUUUCAGAGCUAAAAUAAAGUGAAAGAUGUUUUACAAUUAAAGGAGAAUAAACAAUUUGAAAUAACUGGACAACAUAUAUGGAAAUGUGAAUUGUCUUUAAAUGGGACCUUAUGUAAUACAUUAGUACAGGUAGUAACCAGCUAAACCAUCUUAAGAUAUAAAUAAACUGGACCUAAACUUUUCCUAAUUAAUAUAGUAGUAUACAUUUUGCACUUUUGAAUACGCACCAUUCUCUGUCUGAAGUCUUGCCCUCUGUGCACUCAUGUCAUUCAGCUGGCGAACGUUCUCAUCAUUUUUGGAUUUGAUUUCAUUCAACUGGUCUUCAAGAGUUCGGCACAUUUUCUCCAGAUUGGCCUGUAAUUGGAAUACAAUUAAUACAACUCAAGUCCAGUGAACAUGUAACUUACUGAUCAGCAUUUCUAGCUAUUCUCCACUUUAAAUGAUGAUGAUAGUUGAAAAAAUCUCAUUGUCGUUUCCUCUAAAGAAUAUUGAAUACCUUUGCCUUGGCAACAGCCUCCAUGUUGCUGGAGAGGUCAUCAAUCUCCAUCUUGUACUCACUCUUCUCCUUCUCCAGCUUCUGCUUGACACGCUGAAGGUUGUCGAUCUGCUCUCCCAGCUCUGCAACGCUGUCAGCCUGCUUCUUGCGGAGAGCUGCUGCAGUAGCUUCAUGCUGCAGGGUGGCUUCUUCCAGGUCACGACGCAACUUCUGGAACUCAGCCUCACGCUUCUUGUUCAUCUCAAUCUGAGCAGCUGUUGCUCCACCAGCCUCCUCAAGCCUCUCACUGAUCUCCUCAAGCUCCCUGGAGAGAUCAGCUCUCUGCUUCUCUACCUUAGCUCGAGCAGCCCUCUCAGCCUCAAUCUCCUCCUCCAGCUCCUCAAUGCGAGCCUAGAGUUGAUGAUGGUUCCAUCAAGAAGAUUUAGUGACUUAAACAUGCUGUUUUAGAAUGUGAAAUAUUUGUAUAGAGGUAAAAUAAUGAUACCUGGAGUUCCUUGAUCUUCUUCUGAAGCUGAGCACCAAGGGACUGUUCAUCCUCAAUCUUGCUGAGGAGCUGGCUGGUCUCAAAGUCCUUCCUUGAUGUGGGGAACAAAAAACAAUUAGGCCUAACACAGUCCCAUUCUGACAGGCAUAAUGUACUUCUAUGUAUGAAUGCAGGAAUAUUGAUAUCUAAAUUUUGUCACUUACUUCUUGAGUUUCUCCUCAGAUUGCUGCUUGUCAUUCUCCAGAUCCAUUAUGGAUUCCUGGGCCAGUUUCAGAUCUCCCUCAAGCUUCCUCUUGGCUCUCUCAAGGUCCAUGCGGAGCUUCUUCUCUUGCUCCAGUGAGCCCUCAAGCUAUAAAAUAAGGCACUUUGAGUUUGUACAGCGGAACCAACUUAAAAUUUCACUGUACUUCAGUACCCUCAGUAUAUAAACUUACAUCAUCCACUUGCUGUUCCAGCUUUGUCUUAGCCUUGGUCAGAGUGUUGACUUUGUCUUCCUCUGCCUGGAGGUCAUCCAGUGUCUGCUGAUGGGCCUCUUGGAGGGCUUUCUUCUCCUUGGUCAGCUUGGCAAUGGCUUCAUCUUGAGAGGCCAUCUCUUCUGUCAGGUUUUUCACCUGGAAUUAAGUGCAAAGUUUAACUUACCUCUUAAGCAUUAUGUUAAAUAAAAGAGUUUAAUAUCCAUCUCAGUCAUUAAAUUCAUUUAAAGAGUAUAACAGUGUGUAUGAUUAUGUAUAUAUAUAUAUUUCUAUGCUAUGUAAAACAAUGUCAAAAUGAAAUGAACCUUGUUUUCUGUGGCAUGUUUCUCCUUCUCCACUUUGGCCAAGGUGAGCUCCAAGUCAUCAAUGUCCUUCUUCAGCUCAGAGCAUUCAUCCUCCAACUUCCUCUUCUUGGCAGUCAGCUCAGCAUUGAUUUCCUCUUCAUCCUCCAGUCUCUCAGUUGUCUCUUUGAGUUUGGCCUCGAGCUGGAUCUUGCUCUUAAUGAGCCCCUCACACCUUUCCUCAGCAUCAGAGAGGUUUUCAGUUUCCUACAGAAAGAACAUAUGUGUGGUAUUACUUUGACUGAAAUAUGUUUAAAAUUGUAGUCAGUGUAUUGUUUAUGUGUAAUUACAACAUUAAUAGUAAUUUGUAUAGAACAGCAAAAAAGGAUAGUAAACAUCUGACUAUAAACGAUCACAUGAAUAUACAGUUAAUUUUUCAGCAAAGUGAACAUCACACAUAUUUUCCAUGUCACUUACUGCAGCCACUUGGAGUUGCAGGUCAUUCUUCUCCUGCAGCAGGGAAACCAUCUUCUCCUCCAGCUCCUUCUUCUUGGCUAAAGCAGUAGCCAGGUCUGUCUGCAUCUUCCCAUAGUUCUCCUUCAUCUGCUGCAACUCCUUCUCAGUCUCAGCACUCUUCAGGAGAGGCUUGAUCUUGAAGUACAGAUGCAUCCAUGGCCAGUUCUUGACAUUCAUGAAUGAGCGGAUGUUGUACUGGAUGGUGAAGAUUGCAUCUCUACAGAAGUAAAACUAAUUAGUGUCUAAAUAUUGUUUUGUUUAACAUCACAUUCUAAUAUUUCGCUGGCAGUUUUGUAUCAGCUGUAUUGUAGUCCUACCUCCUCUCCAUCAUCUUUACAAACUCUUUCCUCAUUUGGUAUCCUCUGCAGAGAGCCUGAGUCAUUGUUACAAGUGUAGCUAGUUUGUCAUCUCUCAUCUCCUCAAGGGUACCCAGCAGACCAGCUUUGAAGAACACCUAUGGUGUCAAAUCAGCAGACUCAGUUGUCUGUACACAUAGAUACAACUGGAUAUACUGUAAUUAUAACCAAAUUCAAUACCAUUAGUGUAAGAUCUGUACCUUAGUGUGUCCAAACUUGUACUGAGUGUGGUCCACAUCAAUGGAGCCCAACAGCUUCUCUGAAGCUUUCUUGUUGUCAAUGAACUGUCCCUCAGGGAUGACACUGGCAUUCAAUACUUUGUAUCUGCAAGGUAGAUUUUAGUCCUUCAUAUUAUACAUACGAAACAAUAUGGUGGUUCCACUGACAUCACUGUUUUUCCUGAAAACUAUACCUUGUUUUUUUAAAAUUGAAAAUGCUGAUUACCUCUGCUUGAAGUCACCGUAGAGGAUUCUGCUGGGGAAGCCCUUUCUGCAGAUUCUGAUGCCCUCCAGCACACCAUUACACCUCAGCUGGUGGAUGACCAAGAAGUUCUCCAUAAGACCUGAGAGAUGGAAAUUCAUAGUUUAAAGCACAGCAUUAUUUUCAUUACUGUGCAGCAUACUGUAAGACUGUGGCCUUCUUACCUGGGGUCUUUGAUUCAUUGGGAAUCAGGCAGCGGACAAAGUGAGGAUGGGUGCUCCUCAAGUUGGUCAUCAGUUUGCCCAAGUUCUCCUGUGGAUCAGUAUCAUGAGAUAAUAGGUCAAUAUGACUUCAAUGUAAGAUUUUCAAUUGUUUUCCCAAAAAAAUGAAACUUUACACACUCUGAAAAGAGCGGACACAGUCUGGAAGGAACCACCCUUCUUCUUACCACCACCCUUCUUGCCACCACCACCAGAAGCCUCUGUUUUCCAAAACAUUGAAAAUUAGAAUCAUCACCACAGAGCAGUAAUCAACUCGUUACUGGUCAUGAACCCUAUGUAACAGAUGCAAUUAUUACCUGUAACUACACUUAUGGUACCUCACUGCACUUACUAAUUAGAUCUUUAUGGAUUGCACACUAGCUCAACCAAUUUGCUCCAUAUGUUGUACCAAUAAUAGGAAAUAACAUUGUUCACGAUUAUAAAAAUAUUCAAAUCAAACCACCUGGUAUGACCUACAGUUUAUACAUUUGUCAGCAAUAUCUAUACAAUAGUUCUAAUACAAUGAAGUACAACAUCCUUAUCACUUUAUUCCCUUUUAUUUCUUACCUUCAGCUGAGGCAUGGGAUGCAUAUAGGAAAGCCAGCAGUUUGUUUGCAGACUUCUGGUAGAGCUGUACCACUGAGUCGUUCAGUGGGUCCUUGUUCUUGUCCAGCCAGCCAGUGAUAUUGUAGUCCACUGUACCAGCAUAGUGAACCAGGGAGAAGUGAGCCUCAGCUUUGCCCUUUCCAGGCUUUGGCUUCUCAAAGGCCUUGGUCUUGCCAAGAUGCUGAUCAUGCAGCUUGUUCUUGAAAGAAGUAUCUGUUGCCUUGGGGAACAUGCACUCCUCUUCAAGGAUGGAGAAGAUGCCCAUUGGCUGAGAAGAAUUUACAAUUCGUGUUAAAAGUUUCCCAGCACAAGCAACCAUUUUACCAUCAAUCAAGACAUAUUUGGUUAUGUACCUUCUCGAUAAGCUCAAUGCAGGCAGCCAAGUCCAUACCGAAGUCAAUGAACUCCCAAUCAAUACCUUCUUUCUUGUACUCCUCUUGCUCCAGGACAAACAUGUGGUGGUUGAAGAACUGUUGCAGUUUCUCAUUGGUGAAGUUGAUGCAGAGUUGCUCCAAGCUGUUGAACUAUAAUUAAAGGAAAGUGUUUAAUUUCAUGGCAAAAUAGUAUUGAUCUUUAAAACUGCUUGAAUAUUUUUCAACUUCUCACAUCAAAGAUUUCAAAUCCAGCGAUAUCCAACACCCCAAUGAAGAACUGUCUUGGCUGCUUUGUGUCCAGCAUCUCAUUGAUACGGAUGACCAUCCACAAGAACAUUUUCUCAUAGACAGACUUGCACAGAGCGCUGACAGCAUUGUUGACCUAGAAAGAAAGAUUUUAGAGAUAUUUUUAUCCACCUGGAAAGUGCUGUAAUAUCCUAAAUAUUAUUUUAAUUUCACAAGGUGAAGCAGUUUGUUUUUUCAUUACCUGUGGGACGGUCUGACCUUUGGUCACAAACUCAUUGCCGACCUUGACUCUUGGGUAGCACAGAGCUUUCAGCAUAUCAGCUGAGUUCAGGCCCAUGAGGUAGGCAAUUUUAUCAGCCUCUGAUUAAAACAGCAAAAAUGUUUUAGAUUUAAAAAUGCUAUCUCAACAAUAUGACAUAAGAUACACAAUCAAUAUAGUUGCCAUUCACAAGAUUACUGAAGAAGUAUAUCAUAUUUUAUAUUGAAUGCUUGUUGGCAGUAACUGUUAGUCCCAUUGCAUUGCUUUUGUUAUGGCUGUCUCAUUCUUUUGGUUAUUUAUGGCUUGUCACUCUUUUGUUUUGGUACUAAUUACAUUCCAACUGUAAUAGUUAUUGCUUGCUACUACUUACACAUCUGAUUGUUGAUUGCCAGACUGUCUUUGCUGGUGAGGUGCCACUAGUUUGCAUUAAUCAACGAAUUCAUUGCUGUAGCAGUGUUAGGAUUACAAUAUUGUGGCACGAAUUGAUGCAGAAAACCCUUGCUUUGCGAGGUGAUUGAAUUUUUUUUCACUUGCUAUUGCAUCCUUUGGUAUUAUGUAAAGCAAUGCAACAUAAUAUGAGGGUGUAAUAUCAAAAAAUGUAUUAUUUACCCUCAGUGCCAUCAGGCUCAGCCUGCUCCUCCCUCUGCUUCUGCUUGAACUUCAUGUUGCCAUGAUGCAUCACAGCACCGGUCAGCUUGUAGAUGCCCACUUUCUCCUCACCGCUGAAACCCAGGAUGUCAAUAGCAGUCUGCAAUGAUAAUGAGACCAAAUUAUUAGUACUUGAAAGUUUUCCUGCAACUAUAUUAAGUAUAGGAUCCAACUCAAUCACUGACUUACAUCUGUUGCCAUGAACUCCUCCACAUCAUUGAUGCUCUUGACAGUGAUUUCACCCUGACUGAUCAUUGGAUAGUCAUAUGGAUUGGUGGUGAUCAGAAGAGCCUCUGGAAGAAAGCAGAGGAAAUGCAUUAGUGGGCACAUAUUUUUAUUAAUUUUCUUUUUAUUUAUUUAUUUUGUUAUAACAUACCCAGAAGCUCAGGCUUGUGUCCAGUCAUCAGCUGAUAGAAGAUAUGGUAGCUCCUCUCAGCAGACAACUGGAAGGUGACACGGGACUUCUCCAGCAGAUCUAAGAGUAUUUGACAGAUAGACAAAAUCAAACAAUGCAAGACAUUAUAUUUGUACACUACUAAUGUUGCCAAAUGCAAAUUGAUAGUAACUACAACUUACAUGUUUCAAUAUCCGCUGAGGCUAGCUUGCCAGUAGAGCCAAAGUGGAUUCUGAUGAAUUUACCCUAAACAUUCACCAGAAAAUGUCAGUUUAACUCUGGGUAUCAAUAAAUAUAAGACAUUUAUGUAAAGGUCUGUAAUAUAAAUACUUACGAAACGAGAGGAGUUGUCAUUCCUCACAGUCUUGGCAUUACCAUAGGCCUCCAGCAGAGGGUUGGCUGCAAUGAUUUGAUCUUCCAGCGAGCCCUACACAGAGAAAUUAUGAAGUUGUGUACAAACAACAACAAUUAAGUGUGGCAAAGAUGUUUAGCAGUCAGUCUUACCUGGAUUUUUCCUGAUGACUCAGCUUUCUUGGUUCCAGCCACUGCAAUUGUUGCAAAGUACUGGAUGACACGCUUGGUGUUGACAGUCUUUCCAGCACCAGAUUCUCCGCUGGGGAUUUAAAGGAAAAUCUUUACUUAGCAAUACAGUCAUGAAAUUCCUGAAGUAUUCUUCGUGACAUGUUGUUUAAUACUCACGUAAUGAGGAUAGACUGGUUCUCACGAUCUAAAAUAUAAGCAUACAAGCUUAAGUUAAACUUGUAUUUGACAUUCUUCUUUGUCUCUUCCACCUAAAUUCUGUUGUAACUUUGAUCUUACCAGUGAGCAUGAACUGAUAGGCAUUAUCAGAGAUGGAGAAGAUGUGCGGUGGAGCCUCAAUCCUCUUCUUGCCUCUGUAUGCCACAACAACCUGAGAAUCGUAUACAGGAAGCCACUUGUAGGGAUUCACGACGACGCAGAAGAGACCAGAGUAAGUCUGUGGUAUCAAAGACAAAAACAUCAUCAGAUUUGAUGUGCAGGCUUUACAGAUAGAAGCAAACUAUAUUAUGAGGUUGAAACAUACGUAGAUCAUCCAUGAUGCAAAACGCUCUUUGAGGUUAUACAACACAGCAGGCUCGUUGAGGUGGGUCAUCAUGGCCAUGUCCUCAAUUUUAUCAAACUUUGGAGGAUUCAUGGGAUGGAUGUCGUCCUCUUUUACAGUGACAGUCUGAAUAAUAAAAACAAUUAAACACAAAUUUCAGUGAUUAAUUGCUGAGAUCAUACUAUAGUUUAAUGAAAUUGAGAUAAAAUAGAACUUCAUUAAUCUCUGAGGAAUAUCUUGAAUAAUCUCACUCUAUUUUGUUAUGAGUUUGAUUCAAAGCGUUGUUACCCUUACCUUUCCUGUAACUGUCUCAACCGUGGCUUUGCCACCCUCUCUUUUGAGCAGUUUACCCUUGAGGUACAUCUCAUCAGUAUCAGUCACAAAGUAGGCUGUUUUGGCAUCAAAUGGAGCAGUCUGGGCCUCAAUCCUCUCUUUCUCUGGCUUCCGGAGGUAAAUGGCUGCAGGCCCAUAGGCCUCCAUCUCUGCGUCCGUGCUCAUGAUGGCACUUUAGAUGGCUGAAAAUAAGAGGUUGCUGAAUUUCUAUUGCAUUUAUUAAAAUAACUAUUAACAUGCUAGUGAUAGGCGUAUUGGGUGAUGUGUUUUGAAAUCGGGAUAUUACCAAAAAUAAAACUACAAUUUACCUCCUUUGGUCCCAGCAGAAGAUGGAAUAUAGUCAGGUAUGUUGCUCUGAUGCUAUAGUCAAGCAUGAAUACAAAGGUUAUUGAGGUUUCUAUUAGUUUCAAAAUAUGUGCAUUUAAAAAAUAAAUCCACACUGCUUUGAAACAUGAAAACACUAAUGUAUUAUUAAAUAAAGAUUUUUGUUUGCAUGCAGAGCAACAAUAAGUUUGUGUUCACAUUACAAAGCCACUAAAGUUAAUAGACCUACCUGAGGUGGAAGCCUACCAGUUAUUGUCAGAGUCCUAAGCUGUCUCUUUUAUAGAGGGAGGACUGUCUCCUCAGUAGGUGUGCCCUGCUCAGUUUGGUCAUGUAUUCUUGUCAUGUUGUCGCUAAUCCUGUGACAUUGACAUUUAUGGUGAUUAUACUCCCUUGUAAGCACAAUUGUAACAGUGGGUAUUUUUUCCUUGUGUCUAAAUUGAAUAGACAAAAGGUGCAGUGCUGCUUAAAUAAUUUUAAAAUGUAUUAAUUGCGUAAACAAUUACUUUUAGAUCUAAUGUUACACAUAUAUUAGAUUUUCUUACAUAUUCAUGAUACAUCUGAAAUUUAUAUGCAUACACAGAUUUUUAAAAGAGCAGCACUGAUGUUGGUGUUGUUAAAAUUGAGAUAUUCUAUUAUUUGCUAUUCAACAAAAACACAAGUUUGCAUUUUGUAAUUUAUUCUCACGUUACAUGUUUUUCUUUGUGUUUGUGUGAAAGACUUUGUGACUUUGUGUUUGAGAAAGCUUCAUAAAAAUGAAGAAAUAAAGCUUUACUUACUUUCUUUUGGUUUUGGAGAAGCAUGGAAAUGUCCCUGGUGUUCAGUUGCAGUUCACACUUCAGGUUUGGUAGACCAGUAAAACAAGGUCAGACAUUCUGUUCAUGGCCAUAGAUUUAAAUAAAGAUUUUAGCAUCUG